GUAUUAUUGCUUGUAGUUAGAACUAUACAUGCUAGACUCCCCCUACCAGUGAGGACGCCCACCCUUAGCCUCCACCUAACCUCGGAGCCGGUAUCAGGCACAGGUCCUACCUAGCCCAUAACACCUAGCCCAUGCCACACCCCCAACGGGUACCAGCAGUAAAAAAUACUAAGCAAUGAGUAAACACUCGACUUGAUUAUAACUACCUGCCCAUAGGGCUGGUAAACCCCGUGCCAGCCACCGCGGUUACACGUGAAGCCCAAAACAAUGAACCAUGGCGUAAAGCGUGACUAGAGCAACAUGUUCUCUUACGGGAUGAAAACUUAACCCUAGUUGUAAAAUACAUUGUGGUCCUACAGGAAACCCUCUUCACUACCCCGAGAAAAACAUCCUUGACCACACGAAAGCUGUGCCCCAAACUAGGAUUAGAUACCCUACUAUGCUCAGCCGUAAACCCCGGUGCAACAAAACAACUGCACCCGCCAGAGGACUACAGGCACAAGCCCAAAACUCAAAGGACUUGACAGUGUCUCACACCGACCUAGAGGAGCCUGUCCUAUAAUCGAUGAUCCACGAUAAACCUUACCGACCUUUGCCACAUCAGCCUAUAUACCUCCGUCGCCAGCCCGCCUGCCUAACAGCACCAAAGCGAGCAAAACAGCUUACCACAAGCACGUCAGGUCAAGGUGUAGCUAAUAGGCCGGACAGAGAUGGGCUACAUUUUCUAAUUUUGAAAACACCCGCUAAAAACAUGAAAACUUUAUAGCAAGGUGGAUUUAGCAGUAAGAGGGGCAAGCAUAGGCCCCCCUGAAGCCCGCUCUGAGACGU
RNAcentral lists this non-coding RNA (828 nucleotides) under Uroplatus guentheri. RNAcentral's name for it is "partial 12S ribosomal RNA". It matches the Rfam family "Bacterial small subunit ribosomal RNA", at positions 27 to 1382 of the family's 1533-position model. The record is from RNAcentral. Lineage: Eukaryota; Metazoa; Chordata; Lepidosauria; Squamata; Gekkonidae.